Molecule: long non-coding RNA, 2653 nt
Organism: Mercenaria mercenaria
Lineage: Eukaryota; Metazoa; Mollusca; Bivalvia; Venerida; Veneridae
Exons: 3
Source: RefSeq, a predicted model, not a curated record
UGUAAACUUCGAAAACAUUGGGGGAAAAAUAACUAAAUAAUUAUAUAGCUAAAAGAAGUCCGCUUAGCUGAAUUUUAGAUAAAAACAUUGUGUUGGCAGUGAUCAAUGAGCGAAGCGGUAAGGGAGAUCACUGCGUUGGAGUUUGUGUAAAUGGAGAGAACACUGGACGCGUUCAUCUGUAUUCAAUUUUGGAACACUACCUGUUAUACUCUGAACACCGAUGUUUGGUACAAGUCUUCUGUGUACGAUUGGAACGCGUGAUUUGAACGACAGCAUUCAAUACUAGUUCGUCUUCCAAGAAAAGACAAGACAUAUUUUACUGUUUUGAAUAUUACUGGACUAGGGGUCACAUCCUGAUUAGGUGCAGUUGACUACUUAUCCUUACAGUGCUCUAUAUAAAGUUCUUCAGCAAAAGCAUGUAGUGAGCAGAUAUAGAUAGAAGCUGAAGCAACGCGAGCGGAAUAAGAAGGGCAAAUGUCAUUUCCAGACUCCUAAAGCGAUCAUUGAGGCUGCUGAAGAACAGGACUUUGCGGUCAAGUUGGAGGUAAAACAAAACACUCCUCCAAAACUGGUGAUACAUUGUAUUUACCGGAAAUGACAAAGCAGAGGCAGCCUAUGUAGUAGGAGAUUGUACUGCCAUAAGGUGCAAUAGGGAGUGUCCAGUGUUAUUUGCAGUUCAGUUAUUUGCAACCUCUUGUGUUUUCGACAUUGAAUAUCCAUUCUAUUCUUAAGCAAUGUCUUAUGGAUUCUUGCAGCAAUUUGUAUUUGAAGAACAGUAUACAAACGAAAGUUAAAAAAUCAAGUUUUUUUUUCUGUUAGAAGUUUAGAACAGUAUUUAAAUAAAUGAGUUACUUGAUUAAGGUAUUGGGAGCAUGAUAAACUUGGCAGCCAUUUGCAAAUAUUUCUUUCUUCUGAAAUAUCAUUCUGGUUUGUAUUUUGCUGAAAUCAAAAGCACCUCCAGAUAGAGAACAGUUUUCAGUUUUCAAUACUGCUAAUAUUAAUGAAUGGCACCACUGGUCACUUCUGAGCAGAUAGAUUGACAUUUUUCAAAUAAUAUUAUUGAUACUGAGCUUUUCAAAACGGUAUUAUUGGUUGAUUGACAUAUUUUCCAAAAUGGAACUAUUGGUACUGAGCAAGUUGACUGACAUUUUCCAAAUGUUUCUAUUAGUACUGAGCAGAUAGAUUGAUAUUUUCUAAAUGCUAUUGGAACUGAGCAGGCUUUUAACAUUUUCCAAAUGGUACUGUUUAUAUAUAAUAUUGCAUAUUACAGUAAUUCAUACAGUAAAUGUGUACUUUCUAAUGUUCUGAGCUGUAUGUAAGAAUAAAAUGAUAGUAUAUUUUUUCUAUAUCAUUGUAUUAAUCUGUCAGGGUUGAGUCUAGUCGAAAUGUUUUGUGCAACUGGUAAAAUAAUUUUGUAACGAGUGAUUCCAACAUUACCUGUUUUACUUGCUUUGGGCAAAUGUCAAAGUCAUGCGUCAGUGUCUUUUUGUUUAAAAAAUAACCUGAAUUUUUCUUAAGUACCAUUUUAUCUUUGAAACUUGGAUUAUGACCAUCGUCUAUUUGCAGGAGUACAUAAUUCUACAUCAAUAUUUUUUCAUAAUGGUCAUUUUUUACACAGUCUCUUAACUUUGGAUUUUACUUACAUUGUUUCUUACAUCGGAAAGCAUUGAGAAUUGUAGAGCAUAUUGUUUUACUGUUUUAAACAGCUUUUGUGCAGCACUGUUAAAUGACAGCAUUUAUUUACUAAUAUGUAAGUUUUUAGGGAAGGGAGCACUUUUACAGGAAAUUAUGUUCAAAACAUGGUAACUUUUUUGUCAUGUACUAUACUGAUUCAGAUGUUUUGCUUCUUUUCAUCCAUUUGGCGACAGGAGCAUUGUUUUAUAAUAUGCUGAUUAAAUAAAUCAUUUUAGAGCAAAGCAGUAUAUACAGUAAGAUAAAUUUUAUUUUGCACUCAAGCAGUUCGGCCAUGCGCUUCCAUAAAAACAAUCACAAUAUACACAAAAACAGGCUGUGUAACAGAUAAUUAGAUAUUUUGCAACAGACUCUAUAAUCUGUAUAUGGCAGUUUUCCAAAGUACAACUAAAGAACACUACACUUGUACAUAAAAAGCUCAUGCUUGUAGUUGCACUGUCAUGUAAAUGGCAUGACAUGAAAUGUUAGUUAUUCUUCAAAAUGUUUUUGAAAUAAAGUUCUUUUUUUCAGCAGUAAAUUUUAUUUAUGUAUACCAAAUAUCCCUAAGGAAAACAUGUCUGUUAUCCAGUGUUCAAAACUGUGCGCAAUAUGUUCAACUAAUGCUCAAAGUCUUAACGUUCAUAUCAUUGAACAUGUUCUAGGUGUUCAAUAUCUGUUGCAUUUGAAUUGCACACGUCCGGAGUUCAACAAAAGAACACCUGAGUGUUCAUGGAGUGUUUACGGAACUGUUGGUGUUAACAAUCUGAACACUAACAUUAAAGAAUAGAACAUGGCUGGUGUUAAAGAUGGUCAAUCACAUUUAAACAACAUUUAAUGACAUUUUUUACUUUUUGUAUAUUCUGGUAGAGAAUUAUUUAAGGAACAAAAAGACUGAUUACAUAGAGUUAGAUUCCUAUUUGAAAUGUAUAUUUUAUUAUUUUUAUAAAAUUUUGUAAUUACUCCCCUUUAAUAUGAAAGUAUA